Molecule: non-coding RNA, 29 nt
Filed under: Cricetulus griseus (Chinese hamster)
Lineage: Eukaryota; Metazoa; Chordata; Mammalia; Rodentia; Cricetidae
Source: RNAcentral
CACCCCAUCGUGGAGACUCUGAGGCAGAA